RNAcentral lists this ribosomal RNA (2643 nucleotides) under Triticum aestivum (bread wheat). RNAcentral's name for it is "partial small subunit ribosomal RNA". The record is from RNAcentral. Lineage: Eukaryota; Viridiplantae; Streptophyta; Magnoliopsida; Poales; Poaceae.
AUGUCGGUGCUCGCUUUCGCUGCUUCUGCGGCGGUCUUCUCCCUGCUCCUUCUUUCGCGCGCCGGAGGGUCGCCGCCGUCUGGGCCGGUGGCCGUGGGCGCGCUGCUGGACCUGACGAGCGACGCGGGGAGGCAGAGCCUCACCUGCAUAUCCAUGGCGCUGGAGGACUUCCACGCGGCGCACGCCGGCUCCGGCGCCGCGCGAGUCGAGCUGCGCGUCCGGGACUCGCGCGGAGAGGUCGUCGCGGCAGCGACCGCCGCCGAUGAUCUGAUCAGAACAGAUCGAGUACAAGCCAUCAUUGGGCCUCAAACUUCAGCCGAAUCCGAGUUCAUUGCAUACCUUGGGAAUCACACACACACUCCAAUCCUCUCCUUGGCUCCAACUUCUGCAGCAUCGACAGCUUUCCUUCUGCAGAUUGCACCCAAUGAGUCCUUUCAGGUUGCUCCAGUUGCUGCUAUCCUUGAUAUGUUCACAUGGCGUACCACCACCGUGGUGUAUGAAGACUCGCCAUAUGGAGCUCGCAUCCUUGCAGCCCUGUUUUCCGUCCUUCAGGGUUACAACAUACGUGUCAUGGAUAGCAUAGCUCUGCCUGUCGGUGUGACUGAGGACUACCUCGACAAAGUACUCUACAAUCUCAAGGAGACGCCCACACGAGUGUUCAUUGUGCAUAUGGCCCCAGAUCUUGCUGCUCGCGUCUUCUACCAGGCGACUGUCGCUGGUAUGAUGUCUGAUGGCUAUAUCUGGAUAGCCACUUCCAGCAUUGGCAGUACAGUGGAGAGCUUGAGUAUUGACAAGGUUGAUCAUAUGCAGGGGGUCGUCACCUUCCGACCUUAUGUGCAGGCAACUGGCCAUAUCAUGAACUUCACUGCAAGGUUGAAGUCAAGAUUUCUGUUAGAGAAUCCAGGCAUUCACAAUGUGCACAACCCGAGCACGCAACUGCUCUGGGCUUACGACACUGCAUGGGCUCUUGCCAAAGCAGUCCAUAUAGCCAGAAUGUCCAGCUCAACACCUGGGAGAAUGCUUCUCGGCGCAGUCCUCAACACCACAUUUGAUGGGUUGUCUGGGAGGUUCAGGCUGGUAAAUGGACAGCUGGAGCUAUCAACACAUGAGGUUAUUAACAUCGUCGGUAAAGGUGCAAGAACAGUCGGUUUCUGGACGCCCGAGUCUGGUAUCUUGAAGAGUUUGGAAACGAAUAGUGUGAAAGGGCUGAAACAAGUACUCUGGCCAGGUCAUCUAGCAAUUGCUCCAAAAGGGUGGGACGUGUCAUCGAACAGGCGGCCUCUUCGUAUUGUUGUGCCUGAAAAACAGGGGUUUAACCAGUUUGUCGAGGUCACCUACAGCCCAACAACAAAUAGUUCUACUAUCAGAGGCUACUGUAUUGACAUUUUCGACAUGGUCAUGAAGAAUUUGCCCUAUCCAGUGGCCUACCAAUAUGUGCCAGUUAGUGAUAGCUCGCGAAACUAUGACAAUCUUCUCAGCCUGGUGCAUGAAAAGAAAGCUGAUGGCAUGGUUGGUGAUACGACCAUCACGAUGAGGAGGAUGAAUGUGGUGUCCUUCACAAAGCCCUUCACUGAUACGGGAUUGUCAAUGGUAGUGGUAGUGAAGAAAGAAACGGACGGGGGCAUGUGGAUCUUCCUGCAGCCACUGACAACUACCCUCUGGAUCACCAGUCUUGCCUUUUUCUGCUUUACCGGUUUUGUUGUGUGGGUGGUUGAGCACCGAAUCAACCCCAAAUUCCGAGGCACACCUUGCCAACAGUUUGGCACCGUCUUCUACUUUGCAUUCUCGACUCUUGUCUUCUCCCACAAGGAGAAGCUGGAGAGCAACCUGUCAAGAUUCAUGGUUAUCAUAUGGCUCUUUCUUGUCCUUAUUCUUACAUCAAGCUACACGGCAAACUUAACAUCAGUGCUGACAGUCCAACGGCUUCAGCCGACAGUGACUAGCGUGCAAGAUCUCCUAAGAAAUGGUGAUUACGUGGGGUAUCACAAUGGCUCCAUUGUGCCAUACUGGCUUGAGAAAAUGGGCUUCCGCAAGGAAAUUUUACUGGGCUAUAGCACAGUGGAGGAGUAUGCCGACGCCCUGCGCAGGGGAUCCGGCAAUGGAGGGGUGUCUGCAAUAUUUGACGAGAUCCCCUACCUAAAGGCUUUCCUUUCAAAGUACUGUGAAGGUUACACCAUGAUUGGCCCGACCUACAGGUUGGGAGGCUUCGCGUUUGCUUUCCCGAUAGGGUCGCCAAUUGUGCAUGACGUAUCGCAGGCCAUCUUAUCUCCUGCAGUACAAGAGGAGAUGGAACGGAUAGAGAAGAAAUGGUUCGGUGAUCCAGGAGCUUGUCAGAGCAAGAGCAAUAGCAUCGGCUCGUCCAGCCUUGGCUUCAGCAGCUUUGGUGGGUUGUUCCUCAUCAGUGGCACCGUGUCAGGCCUUGUGCUCCUCAUCCAACUCGCAAUCUUCGUCUACCAGGAGCACGGCAAGCUCUGGGACACAUCACUGCAUAAAUGGUUUCAAUGCCUCGAUUUCGUUCUUGGCGCCAAGGAUUGGAGGUUGCCAAUCUUCAACGGGCCACGCAUCAGGAAUGACGACAGUGUGAAUCAGCCUCAUGGAGCUACAGGGGCUAGUGCCAUGCAUGACUUCACUUCUGAGUUGUGA